This 438-nucleotide long non-coding RNA is filed under the name Mustela putorius furo (domestic ferret). RNAcentral's name for it is "lncRNA (ENSMPUG00000024891.1)". The record is from RNAcentral. Lineage: Eukaryota; Metazoa; Chordata; Mammalia; Carnivora; Mustelidae.
UUACCCUUGCCUCUCUUCCGAUAAUUAAAUUUGAGCUUUCUUCUUGGUCUUCAUUUUGAUAGAAGAGGAUAGAGAUAGAGUGUGGCGACAGGCGCCUAAGCCUCUGACUGUGAAGCCCCAUGCGCAGAGGAAGAAAAGAAGGUUGAUGGCCUAAACAACAUUCUUUGCCCAUUUCUCAAUUUUGCCUGAGACAGGCUGGUGUGUGCAGUGCCUCCAGGAAUGAGACAUAGGGUGAUGGAAGUCCAAAGUUCAGUGAUGAAAUGGAAAGGCUGUCAUCAUCAGAUGUGUGGCCAAGAAGAAGGCAUCUGGAUGGAAGUACUGUGAGUUCUUAUGAGGGAACCCUGAAUGCCAGGAUGGUGGCUGCUUCUCACCAGCUCUAGACAGAUUCUCACCACCCCUAGUGUUCUGGGUGUGACCCUUGGCAACAGCCAGUGCCGA